RNAcentral lists this ribosomal RNA (433 nucleotides) under uncultured bacterium. RNAcentral describes it as "bacterial SSU rRNA". It matches the Rfam family "Bacterial small subunit ribosomal RNA", at positions 29 to 506 of the family's 1533-position model. The record is from RNAcentral.
AUAAACGUUGGCGGCGUGCCUAACGCAUGCAAGUCGCACGAGGCGCAAGCCUAGUGGCGGACGGGUGAGUAACACGUAGGGACCUGCCCAGAAGUGGGGGACAACUCUCCGAAAGGAGAGCUAAUACCGCAUACGGUCUACGGACCAAAGCCGCAAGGCGCUUCUGGAGGGACCUGCGGUGGAUUAGCUAGUUGGUGGGGUAACGGCCUACCAAGGCGACGAUCCAUAGCUGGUCUGAGAGGAUGAUCAGCCACACUGGGACUGAGACACGGCCCAGACUCCUACGGGAGGCAGCAGCGAGGAAUUUUGCACAAUCGACGCAAGUCGGAUGCAGCAACGCCGCGUGGGGGAAGAAGGCUUUCGAGUUGUAAACCCCUUUUGUGAGGGAAGAAGAUCUGACGGUACCUCACGAAUAAGUCACGGCUAACUACGU